GCUGGUGGUGCAGUGGUUAAGCACUCAGCUGGGAACUGAAAGGUUGGUGGUUCAAACCCACUCAAUGGCU
This 70-nucleotide transfer RNA is filed under the name Loxodonta africana (African savanna elephant). It matches the Rfam family "tRNA". Rfam says of the family: Transfer RNA (tRNA) molecules are approximately 80 nucleotides in length. Their secondary structure includes four short double-helical elements and three loops (D, anti-codon, and T loops). Further hydrogen bonds mediate the characteristic L-shaped molecular structure. tRNAs have two regions of fundamental functional importance: the anti-codon, which is responsible for specific mRNA codon recognition, and the 3' end, to which the tRNAs corresponding amino acid is attached (by aminoacyl-tRNA synthetases). tRNAs cope with the degeneracy of the genetic code in two manners: having more than one tRNA (with a specific anti-codon) for a particular amino acid; and 'wobble' base-pairing, i.e. permitting non-standard base-pairing at the 3rd anti-codon position. Lineage: Eukaryota; Metazoa; Chordata; Mammalia; Proboscidea; Elephantidae. The record is from Rfam by way of RNAcentral.